Molecule: ribosomal RNA, 2696 nt
Filed under: Staphylococcus aureus M0876
Lineage: Bacteria; Bacillati; Bacillota; Bacilli; Caryophanales; Staphylococcaceae
Description: bacterial LSU rRNA
Rfam family: Bacterial large subunit ribosomal RNA
Source: RNAcentral
UUAAGUUAUUAAGGGCGCACGGUGGAUGCCUUGGCACUAGAAGCCGAUGAAGGACGUUACUAACGACGAUAUGCUUUGGGGAGCUGUAAGUAAGCUUUGAUCCAGAGAUUUCCGAAUGGGGAAACCCAGCAUGAGUUAUGUCAUGUUAUCGAUAUGUGAAUACAUAGCAUAUCAGAAGGCACACCCGGAGAACUGAAACAUCUUAGUACCCGGAGGAAGAGAAAGAAAAUUCGAUUCCCUUAGUAGCGGCGAGCGAAACGGGAAGAGCCCAAACCAACAAGCUUGCUUGUUGGGGUUGUAGGACACUCUAUACGGAGUUACAAAGGACGACAUUAGACGAAUCAUCUGGAAAGAUGAAUCAAAGAAGGUAAUAAUCCUGUAGUCGAAAAUGUUGUCUCUCUUGAGUGGAUCCUGAGUACGACGGAGCACGUGAAAUUCCGUCGGAAUCUGGGAGGACCAUCUCCUAAGGCUAAAUACUCUCUAGUGACCGAUAGUGAACCAGUACCGUGAGGGAAAGGUGAAAAGCACCCCGGAAGGGGAGUGAAAUAGAACCUGAAACCGUGUGCUUACAAGUAGUCAGAGCCCGUUAAUGGGUGAUGGCGUGCCUUUUGUAGAAUGAACCGGCGAGUUACGAUUUGAUGCAAGGUUAAGCAGUAAAUGUGGAGCCGUAGCGAAAGCGAGUCUGAAUAGGGCGUUUAGUAUUUGGUCGUAGACCCGAAACCAGGUGAUCUACCCUUGGUCAGGUUGAAGUUCAGGUAACACUGAAUGGAGGACCGAACCGACUUACGUUGAAAAGUGAGCGGAUGAACUGAGGGUAGCGGAGAAAUUCCAAUCGAACCUGGAGAUAGCUGGUUCUCUCCGAAAUAGCUUUAGGGCUAGCCUCAAGUGAUGAUUAUUGGAGGUAGAGCACUGUUUGGACGAGGGGCCCCUCUCGGGUUACCGAAUUCAGACAAACUCCGAAUGCCAAUUAAUUUAACUUGGGAGUCAGAACAUGGGUGAUAAGGUCCGUGUUCGAAAGGGAAACAGCCCAGACCACCAGCUAAGGUCCCAAAAUAUAUGUUAAGUGGAAAAGGAUGUGGCGUUGCCCAGACAACUAGGAUGUUGGCUUAGAAGCAGCCAUCAUUUAAAGAGUGCGUAAUAGCUCACUAGUCGAGUGACACUGCGCCGAAAAUGUACCGGGGCUAAACAUAUUACCGAAGCUGUGGAUUGUCCUUUGGACAAUGGUAGGAGAGCGUUCUAAGGGCGUUGAAGCAUGAUCGUAAGGACAUGUGGAGCGCUUAGAAGUGAGAAUGCCGGUGUGAGUAGCGAAAGACGGGUGAGAAUCCCGUCCACCGAUUGACUAAGGUUUCCAGAGGAAGGCUCGUCCGCUCUGGGUUAGUCGGGUCCUAAGCUGAGGCCGACAGGCGUAGGCGAUGGAUAACAGGUUGAUAUUCCUGUACCACCUAUAAUCGUUUUAAUCGAUGGGGGGACGCAGUAGGAUAGGCGAAGCGUGCGAUUGGAUUGCACGUCUAAGCAGUAAGGCUGAGUAUUAGGCAAAUCCGGUACUCGUUAAGGCUGAGCUGUGAUGGGGAGAAGACAUUGAGUCUUCGAGUCGUUGAUUUCACACUGCCGAGAAAAGCCUCUAGAUAGAAAAUAGGUGCCCGUACCGCAAACCGACACAGGUAGUCAAGAUGAGAAUUCUAAGGUGAGCGAGCGAACUCUCGUUAAGGAACUCGGCAAAAUGACCCCGUAACUUCGGGAGAAGGGGUGCUCUUUAGGGUUAACGCCCAGAAGAGCCGCAGUGAAUAGGCCCAAGCGACUGUUUAUCAAAAACACAGGUCUCUGCUAAACCGUAAGGUGAUGUAUAGGGGCUGACGCCUGCCCGGUGCUGGAAGGUUAAGAGGAGUGGUUAGCUUCUGCGAAGCUACGAAUCGAAGCCCCAGUAAACGGCGGCCGUAACUAUAACGGUCCUAAGGUAGCGAAAUUCCUUGUCGGGUAAGUUCCGACCCGCACGAAAGGCGUAACGAUUUGGGCACUGUCUCAACGAGAGACUCGGUGAAAUCAUAGUACCUGUGAAGAUGCAGGUUACCCGCGACAGGACGGAAAGACCCCGUGGAGCUUUACUGUAGCCUGAUAUUGAAAUUCGGCACAGCUUGUACAGGAUAGGUAGGAGCCUUUGAAACGUGAGCGCUAGCUUACGUGGAGGCGCUGGUGGGAUACUACCCUAGCUGUGUUGGCUUUCUAACCCGCACCACUUAUCGUGGUGGGAGACAGUGUCAAGCGGGCAGUUUGACUGGGGCGGUCGCCUCCUAAAAGGUAACGGAGGCGCUCAAAGGUUCCCUCAGAAUGGUUGGAAAUCAUUCAUAGAGUGUAAAGGCAUAAGGGAGCUUGACUGCGAGACCUACAAGUCGAGCAGGGUCGAAAGACGGACUUAGUGAUCCGGUGGUUCCGCAUGGAAGGGCCAUCGCUCAACGGAUAAAAGCUACCCCGGGGAUAACAGGCUUAUCUCCCCCAAGAGUUCACAUCGACGGGGAGGUUUGGCACCUCGAUGUCGGCUCAUCGCAUCCUGGGGCUGUAGUCGGUCCCAAGGGUUGGGCUGUUCGCCCAUUAAAGCGGUACGCGAGCUGGGUUCAGAACGUCGUGAGACAGUUCGGUCCCUAUCCGUCGUGGGCGUAGGAAAUUUGAGAGGAGCUGUCCUUAGUACGAGAGGACCGGGA